GACGAACGCUGGCGGCGUGCUUAACACAUGCAAGUCGAACGGAAAGACCCGGCGUUUGUGGGGUUCUCGAUUGGCGAACGGGGGAGUGACACGUGAGUAACCUGCCCUUGACUGUGUGAUAACAUCACGAAACUGGGGCGAAUACCGGAUAUGAGCUCCUGCUGCGUGUGGUUGGUUGGAGAGUUUCGGCGGUUGUGGAUGGACUCGCUGGUUAUCAGCUGGUUGGUGUGGUAGUUGCUUACCAAGCUUUUGACGGCUAGGCGGCAUGAGAGGGUUACCGGCGACAUUGGGACUGCGAGACGGAGCAGACUCCAACGGGAGGCAGCAGUGGGGAAUAUUGCACAAUGGGCGGACGCCUGAUGAAGAAACGCUGCGUGCGGAAUGACGGCCUUCGGGUUGUAAACAGCUUUCGAAUGAGACGAAGCGUGAGUGACGGUAAUGGGUAAAGAAGCCCCGGCUAACUACGUG
RNAcentral lists this ribosomal RNA (468 nucleotides) under uncultured bacterium. Its description in RNAcentral is "partial 16S ribosomal RNA". It matches the Rfam family "Bacterial small subunit ribosomal RNA", at positions 28 to 507 of the family's 1533-position model. The record is from RNAcentral.